Molecule: ribosomal RNA, 615 nt
Filed under: uncultured bodonid
Lineage: Eukaryota; Euglenozoa; Kinetoplastea; Eubodonida; Bodonidae
Description: SSU rRNA
Rfam family: Eukaryotic small subunit ribosomal RNA
Source: RNAcentral
CAUCAGACGCAAUCUGCCGCAAAAAUGUAGCGGAAACGCUUUAUUGGAUACCUUGUGCGAAACGCCAAGCUAAUACAUGAACUAAGGGGCUCGUCCCGUCAAACAGGUGAGGUUGCUUCGGCGGCCGAUCUUGGUGGGCGACCCUGCGGAUGAAUGAAAGUACAAACCAAUGCCCCGCAAGGGGCAGUACCACAAAGUAGUGCUGAAUCAAUUCAUCUUUGCGAAAGCUCGGUUCACCGGGCGCAUUUUGACGAACAACUGCCCUAUCAGCCAGUGAUGGCCGUGUAGUGGACUGCCAUGGCGUUGACGGGAGCGGGGGAUUAGGGUUCGAUUCCGGAGAGGGCGCCUGAGAAAUGGCGACCACUUCUACGGAGGGCAGCAGGCGCGCAAAUUGCCCAAUGCCAAAACAAAUGAUGAGGCAGCGAAAAGAAAUAGGUGCCCCAAACCCCUCGUGGGUUUGGGGCUUUCAAUGGGGGAUAUUUAAAACCAUCCAACAUCGAGUAACAAUUGGAGGACAAGUCUGGUGCCAGCACCCGCGGUAAUUCCAGCUCCAAGAGCAUAUAUUAACGCUGUUGCUGUUAAAGGGUUCGUAGUUGAACUGUGGCAAGCGAAGCC